AUCCUUCUGGACUCCUUCCCAGAGCUAACUACAGACCUGAAAGAUUUCUUCUUCUGCGCUCUCAGGGAACAACAGUCCUUAAAGUCCAGCUCACGCUGCUGUGCUGCAGCGUCGCUCUCGGUCCCCUCCACUGCACUGGGUCUCCCCACUGCACUGGGCCCCCUCUUCACUGCACCCGGCCACUCCACCGCACCCGGUACCCCGGCCCUCUAUGGCACCCAGUUCUCUCUCCUCGGCACCCAGUUCCCCGCCCCCACCUCCGCCCCAACGGCACCCAGUCCCUCGCACCCAGCACCGCCCCCGUCCCUCGCACCCAGCACCGCCCCCGUCCCACCAACAGCACCCAGUCCCCCCGCUCCGCCACGGCACCCAGUCCCCUCAGGGCACCCGGUUCCCCGCCUCCGCCAAGGCACCCGGUUCCCCGCCUCCGCCAAGGCAACCGGUCCCCCCCCCCCCCGCCCCCCGCUACGGCACCCAGUCCCCCGACGGCUCUCGGUCUCCUCCACGCCGAGCCUCGGAGAGCAGGGGCUUUGCUUUUCCGGCUGAGGUGUUCAAUAAACAUCUCUUAAACAAAGGAGUGCGCAAGUGAGAUAAUAUAAGCUCUACGGAAAGACCUGUGUGGCUAGGAACUAAGGCCUCCUGUCAAUAGUCCUGUGUAUGAGUCAUCUUGGAAGUAGAUUGCCCAGCUGCCGUCAAGCCUUCAGAAGACUGUGGUCCUCACUGACAUCUUGCCUGCAACCUCAUGAGAGUUCCUGAGCUAGACCACCCAGUUAAGUUACUGCUGGAUUCCUGACCACAGAAACUGUGAGCUGAUGUUACGCUUCAAUCUACUGUCUGCAUUCUUAACUCUGUCUCAGCAUCUGAUUCCCAGAGGACCUAACUGAUGGUGGUUCCAGGAAUGCUCAAAGAAAACAGGUGAAACUCCACGGCAGGAAAAUCACUGGAACCUGGGAGGCGGAGGUUGCGGUGAGCCGAGAUUGCGCCAUUGCACUCCAGCCUGGGCAACAAGAGUGAAACUCCGUCUUUAAAAAAAAAAAAAAAUACAACCCCCCCCCCCCCCCCCCCCCCCCGCCAAAAAAAAACAAAAAAGAAACAGUGUUGUCAAGAAGCUUUCUCUGACUGUUCUGGGGGAUUAAAUGUUUCACUCCUUCAUUCUUAGACAACA
This 1165-nucleotide long non-coding RNA is filed under the name Homo sapiens (human). RNAcentral describes it as "non-protein coding lnc-SQOR-1:2". The record is from RNAcentral. Lineage: Eukaryota; Metazoa; Chordata; Mammalia; Primates; Hominidae.